GACGAACGCUGGCGGCGUGCUUAACACAUGCAAGUCGAACGGAAAGGCCCUGCUUUUGUGGGGUGCUCGAGUGGCGAACGGGUGAGUAACACGUGAGUAACCUGCCCUUGACUUUGGGAUAACUUCAGGAAACUGGGGCUAAUACCGGAUAGGAGCUCCUGCUGCAUGGUGGGGGUUGGAAAGUUUCGGCGGUUGGGGAUGGACUCGCGGCUUAUCAGCUUGUUGGUGGGGUAGUGGCUUACCAAGGCUUUGACGGGUAGCCGGCCUGAGAGGGUGACCGGGAAAGGUGAUGGGAGAAAGGGGACAAGAGGGGUGAGGGCGGGGGGAGGGGGGAGGAUGGAACAGGGGAGGGAAGCAGGAGGCAGAAGGGGGGGGGGGGGGAGGACGGCGGGGGGGUGGAGAACCGGUGGAGAGUGAGAGGAAGCGGGAGGGAGGGAAGGGGGAAAAGAAGAACGGGCGAACUACGGGGCAGGAGCGGAGAAAAUGGGAGGAAGAACAAGAGUACACAC
Molecule: ribosomal RNA, 509 nt
Filed under: uncultured bacterium
Lineage: Bacteria
Description: partial 16S ribosomal RNA
Rfam family: Bacterial small subunit ribosomal RNA (bases 20-326)
Source: RNAcentral